GUAUAGAGAUUGUAAUUUAUGUUUAACAUUUGAGUUUGAAAAUAUUAGUUUUGGUGUUUGGAUUUAUGAUUUAGGGUAUUAUGUUUAGGUGUAAAGUGUAUGGUUUGGAAUAUAGUUUCAAGGUUAGAUUAAAGAUUUAAGAGUAAAACCUGAAAAAUAUUAAUUUUUGAAUUUAAGUUUGAGAUUUAAAGUUAAAAUAAGAGUUUAAGAUUUUUAUUUAGAGUUUAGGGUUUUAAAAGUAUAUUUAGGGUUUAGUAUUUCAAAUUUUAGUGGCUAAUUCGUGAUAAAAUUGUGGCUUUUCUACACAGCCACGGAAAAUUUAGUGGGCAAACCGUAGCAAAAAAGAUAUUUUUUACAAAUUAGCUACGAUUACAAGGACGUUUAAUUUCGUAGCAGUUUGCCACGAAAAUUCGGUAGCAAAAUCAUGGCUAUAGUUUGCUACGUUUUAACUCGUGGCAGUUUCGUGACUUUUCUUGCUACGAUUUACAUACGAAUUGCUAUGUUUCAUAUUUCAUGACAUUUUAGUGGCAUUUUUGUGGCUUCUUUUGCAACAUUUUAUUUUCAUAGUAUUUUCGUAGCAUUUUCAAAUUUGCCACGAAAAUUUCGUAGGUAU
Molecule: long non-coding RNA, 613 nt
Filed under: Brassica napus (rape)
Lineage: Eukaryota; Viridiplantae; Streptophyta; Magnoliopsida; Brassicales; Brassicaceae
Description: long non-coding RNA (BNAP_LNC024027)
Source: RNAcentral